RNAcentral lists this ribosomal RNA (506 nucleotides) under uncultured bacterium. RNAcentral's name for it is "partial 16S ribosomal RNA". It matches the Rfam family "Bacterial small subunit ribosomal RNA", at positions 28 to 523 of the family's 1533-position model. The record is from RNAcentral.
GAUGAACGCUAGCUACAGGCUUAACACAUGCAAGUCGAGGGGUAACAAGAGAAAAGCUUGCUUUUCUUGUUGACGACCGGCGCACGGGUGAGUAACGCGUAUCCAACCUGCCUAUAACUAGGGAAUAACCUUGCGAAAGUAAGACUAAUACCCUAUGAUUUCCUUUGAUGACAUCAGAUUAGGAAUAAAGAUUUAUCGGUUAUAGAUGGGGAUGCGUCUGAUUAGCUUGUUGGCGGGGUAACGGCCCACCAAGGCAACGAUCAGUAGGGGUUCGGAGAGGAAGGUCCCCCACCUUGGAACUGAGACACGGUCCAAACUCCUACGGGAGGCAGCAGUGAGGAAUAUUGGUCAAUGGGCGGAAGCCUGAACCAGCCAAGUAGCGUGCAGGAUGACGGCCCUAUGGGUUGUAAACUGCUUUUAUACAGGAAUAAAGUUAGCCACGUGUGGUUAUUUGUAGGUACUGUAUGAAUAAGGACCGGCUAAUUCCGUGCCAGCCGCCGCGGUAA